GAUGAACGCUGGCGGCGUGCCUAAUACAUGCAAGUCGAGCGAACAGACGAGGAUUUUGUUCCUUUGACGUUGGCGGCGGACGGGUGAGUAACACGUAGGUAACCUACCUAUCAGACUCGGAUAACUUCGGGAAACCGGAGCUAACACCGGACAAUAUUUCGAACCGCAUGGUUCCAUAGUGAAAGGUGGCUUUGCUAUCACUUAUAGAUGGAUCUGCGCCGUAUUAGCUAGUUGGGACGGUAAGGGCUUACCAAGGCAACGAUACGUACCCGACGUGAGAGGGUGGGAAGCUCCACUAGACCGGAGAUGCGGUACGGACCACUCUGGGAGGCGACGGAGGGGUAUCUACCACAGUGGGCGGGAGGCUGGCGGAACAACGCCGCGUAGGGGAUAAAGUUCUGCGGAUCGGAAAACUCUGUUACUUGGGAAGAGCAAUCGUGUAAGUAACGGGGCACGUCUUGACGGUACCUAAUCAGUAAGCCCCGGCUAACUACGUG
Molecule: ribosomal RNA, 497 nt
Filed under: uncultured bacterium
Lineage: Bacteria
Description: partial 16S ribosomal RNA
Rfam family: Bacterial small subunit ribosomal RNA
Source: RNAcentral